Molecule: ribosomal RNA, 270 nt
Filed under: uncultured bacterium
Lineage: Bacteria
Description: partial 16S ribosomal RNA
Rfam family: Bacterial small subunit ribosomal RNA
Source: RNAcentral
UAGGGAAUCUUCCACAAUGGACGCAAGUCUGAUGGAGCAACGCCGCGUGAGUGAAGAAGGUUUUCGGACCGUAAAGCUCUGUUGUUGGUGAAGAAGGAUAGAGGUAGUAACUGGCCUUUAUUUGACGGUAAUCAACCAGAAAGUCACGGCUAACUACGUGCCAGCAGCCGCGGUAAUACGUAGGUGGCAAGCGUUGUCCGGAUUUAUUGGGCGUAAAAGCGAGCGCAGGCGGAAGAAUAAGUCUGAUGUGAAAGCCCUCGGCUUAAACCG